AAUGCAAGUGUUUAGCAGAUGCUGUUCGGCAAAAAUCUUCUUUUUAAAUAAACUCAUUAAACCAAAAUAUUGGAUCAUUUCAACCCAGGUACAGUAUGUCGCCGAGAAUUUUGAUGGAAAAAAAUAGCGGCACGGUCAGUUCAGUUAUUGCUUUACAAAGUGUUUGUGUGGAACUAGCAGAGGAAAACAUAAAAACAGCUUCAGGAGGCACUUGCCGAUUAACCAAUGGUGAUAUACAUACACCAGAAACACUUUAGCUUAUUGCUAGUUAAUGCACACAGAGAGCUCACUAGCAAUACGUUUUCAUGCCGAGAGAAAUGCAGUUAUUAUGGCUACUCAUUGGACAUGAGUUUCAAGUACAAAACUAUUGGAUCUGACUUUAUAGCAACUGACUUCUAAAAUGAGCAAACAAUAUGGUCAGGGAGAUGGUUUUCAAAGAAUGAGUUGCUUUUAAAUAAGAACAAUAAAAACAAAUCAAAUGAUUCUCUUCCAGCUUGCUAAGUUAAUGUACAUACCACGACAUCUAUUCAUCCGAACCAGUUAUAUGCCUGAAAUCAGUUGCAUGCUUGUUUAACUAGCCUGACUGGAAUAAUGCAAUAAGUUAGGCUGCUGCAUCCACUGGUUAAGUCUCUUCGAACUGGAUGAGCAAGAAGAGCAAGAGAUGAGAAAAGUCUCUUAAUAAUAUACUGGAACUGAGUACAUGGCAUUUUGUCAUGUAAAGCUCAGCGGAUGAUCUGUGCCAGCAGGAGGAAUCCUACGGAGGGCGCAAUUCAGCAGCAGCGUCUUCACCUUCCCUGAGUGAAAUAAGAAGUGUAUAGCUAUCUGCUUUACAAGACACUGUGCACCAGAAUAUGCACCCAAAGAAGCAAAGCAUCACAAUUGUUUUUCAGUCCCAAUGGUUGUCAUUGUAGUUCAUCAUAUGUGCACACACGCUAUACGCCCCAAACAGCCAGAACAGCUCCAACAUUUAUUUUGCAUCUUACUUGUCUUCCCCUCCCUCCCCGCGAAAAGAUUCAAAAUGCAUGAUAGCGGUUCGAAAAACAUUUUUCAGCUUGGUCGUGUGUGCUAUUUUUGAAAGCAGUCAGAAUUAAACUAAAUAUUUGAAAAGGAGUAGAUAGCUCAUGGUUUUGUAAAAAAUACUGAUCUUUUCAUAUAUUUAUUUUCUUCUGUUUACCCAAGAUAAAUAAAAGUAAACAGGCCAUAAGGGUUUAAUGAAAUGAAACAGGCCAGAGGAAUAGAACCCCAUGUUCUGUGUUUUAGGAGAAUGACAUCCUAAUAGGUGUUGUCCUUUUCUAAACCCUAUUUUAAAUUAUUUUUUAAAUAGAGACGUGAAUUUAACAAACCAUCAAACACAAAAGCUGGGGGGGGGCAGAAGUAGAUUAAACUAUAAAGUAAAGAAUCAAUGGAAUCUACAGCUUUGAAAACUGAAAUAUAGUAUAAUACCUGGAAUUUCGCAUACAAAUGUCUUCCCUAAAGAACCAAAUUCAUCCAGCAUUGCCCAAUUCUCAACAUUAGUUUAAUAACUUAAAAAAAUAAUGAUCCAUGGUGUACAUUGACUGGAUAACCCUAUUCUGAAAAGCCUUACUAGCAAGGGUAAUUCUUACUCAAGGAAGUAGUUACCCUUACUCAAUGGGACAGUUGUCUUGAAUAACAACAGCUCAUGUAAGUAAGGAUUUGCAGGAUCGGACCCAAGAGGUAUCUCCAGCAUCUUUCUUGAAUAAGUUUAUGAAUUUUUCUAUUCUGAUUUUAGAAUGACUUGCUUAGAAGAUAGUAAUACACGUUGUUCCUAAUUAGGCUCUAAGUAAUCUAAACAAAAUACACAGUUUUAGUGCUUAAAUUCUCCUUUACCUUAUCCCUCCAAAAUAUUAUGGAACACAGAAUCUUGGCUUUUUGAAUGCGGAUUUAAAAUCUGGCCCGUGGCUGGAAAUGUUUAGAUCAGGUACCCCCAGCUUCUUCUAACUACACUACCUGGCUGGGAGCAGACAAGCAGAAAGAUGGAGCUUUUUUGUGGAUGUUUAAAAACUGAGGCCUUUACAAGCCAACUCUGGGUUUGACCCCUUCACCUCAUUGGAGGAGCCAGGGUUCCCCUUAUCCUUGUUUGUGCCCUAACUACCUCACAGCAAGCACUGUCUCCCCGUGAAUCGUUUGAAAGUUUAGACGUGUUCAAAUUUAUAGAGUGCAUAAUGUCAUUGACCUGAGACCAAAUAUAUUAGAAAGAGAGAUAAUUCUCAAAUGUAUUUUGAAGUGUCUAAGUACCAAGUGCCCUAUGGAUGGAAAUCUGCAUACUACUAAACCUCCAUUUAGAAGUCCAUAAACUAAACUCAACACAGAAACUCUGCAAUAAUAUGGAGUUUUGAAGGGACGCUGGAGAAAUAUCAUUUGAAGUCAAACCUGUCAAUUCGCGUUAAUGAAAAUAACUCUUGCCAUGAUAGUUGCACUCAGUUACACUCAUGCAGUCACAUCAUUGAUUUCAACGGGUCUAGCAAAGGGCAGAAUUUGGCCCUGCAAGUCUGCUUUAAUUGCGGUGGAUGGACGUAUAGGAACCCUGGUGUUCGUUACUAUUAUCAGUACUGAAGGGUGCAAAUAUUUAAGGCAUGAUAAUCUGUGCCAUUAAGUGUGUAUUUUAUACAUACGCGUAUAUAAACCCCAACAACAAGAUAGCGUUCACUUUGUAAGUUUAAAUGAUGUGCAGCAAACACAUGAACAUACCAAUUUUACCCCUGCAUGUGUGAGCAAUUAUUCAAAGAUUGCUUCUAUUUGGGACGAAGGAUACAGAGUUGUAUUGAUGCCACUUAAAAGAAUUUAAGAAACCCAGUGAUCCCCAGAAGAAUAAUAAAGCCUUCAUAAAAUACUCUAUUGAACAGACAAUAUUUCUUAUUGAGUUUGUGGUGUUCACAUAGUUUCCCCUCGUUUAAUAUUGUUUGCUUUACUGGGGGAACUGUGUUUUGAAGCUGCUUUUAAAAUCAGUGCUGAUGGGAUUGCUUGGGCGAAAGGAAUUGUUUGGAUCAAUAAAUAUUUUCCUGUUAACGUUAGGUUUACGUGCUUGCAGGAAACAAAGAUUAGCCUGGCAUUACUUUGGUUGUAUGCUAACAAAAAAUAAGCACUUUUAUUGUCAAUAUUAAUGGAGACACUCAAUUUAGCUUUGGUUUUAAGCAGUGUUCAGAGAUAAAAAGCAACCUUACUUGAUCUAAAAAUAUUCCCCUGGAGCUUCGGAAAAUAACUGUAAUUUUGCCCAAACUGCCAAAAUGUUAAUGUCGUAUUUUCUGUGCCACUCGGUUCAUCUACCUGCUGUAACAUAUUGUGCUAUGACUUGCCCACUAAUUAUUCAAAUACAAAGAGUUGUGGUUGAAAGCAGCUGCCUACAGCAAAUGUUGUGUAACACACUUGUUCAGAAGCAUCAGCGUGUUUAGCUGCAUCCACCACAAUUCCUAUAUAUGUAUCUAAAUGUAAUUGAUCUAGUUGAGUGACGUCCUUUUUGGUAAUUUGGAUACACCAAGUCUCCAGUUAAUGACACAUAAUCAGCCUUUAGGUCACUUGGUCAUUCUCUUAUUACAAACCCCUCCUGCUCUCUCUGAUCUCCUUUCAAACUAAAUUUCACACAAACAAAUAAAGUAAGACAGGGACAAGGGAGAAAUAUUGGAAAACUUCUGAUAGAGCACUGUAAACAUUUGAGAAGAAAAUCUAAAAGAGGAUAGGAAAGAACAUCUUAUCAAAAAGAGAGCAUUGUGUACAAAACUUGAAGAGAAAAAGUUCUGGCUUAUGUUAGAAAUGACACAAAAUUAAAAUAAAAAUAAUUACUAACAGAAAUGUCAUAACAUAAACACAGAAGGCAAGAGACUUACUGGAAAUGCGCACCAGUAGUGUAAUUUAUUGUUAUAGAUUAUACAACUGAUAUGUGAUUCGAAAAAUGUUUCUUUGACUCACUUUGACCAGCAAAAACUUUUUAUUUUUUACACUUAUUUUAUGAAAGCGAAAGAAACGGAACAGAUUGAGAAAUAAAGACCAAAAAUGUAAUUUACUUGUAAAAAUCUAUAGAAAAAAAUGAAACGACUUCAUGGACAUAGCAUUGUGUUAAUUUGAAAAUAAAAAUCAAUAUUUUAU
Mauremys mutica (yellowpond turtle) is the source of this 4101-nucleotide long non-coding RNA. RefSeq lists it as uncharacterized. The transcript is spliced from 2 exons. NCBI's taxonomy places the organism in Eukaryota, Metazoa, Chordata, Testudines, Geoemydidae. The record is from RefSeq and is a predicted model, not a curated record.